RNAcentral lists this ribosomal RNA (372 nucleotides) under uncultured bacterium. Its description in RNAcentral is "partial 16S ribosomal RNA". It matches the Rfam family "Bacterial small subunit ribosomal RNA", at positions 523 to 898 of the family's 1533-position model. The record is from RNAcentral.
AUACGGAGGAUCCGAGCGUUAUCCGGAUUUAUUGGGUUUAAAGGGUGCGCAGGCGGCCAUUUAAGUCAGCGGUUAAAUCGUGGGGCUCAACCCCAUUCUGCCGUUGAUACUGGGUGGCUUGAUUGCGGUCGAGGUUGGCGGAAUUCGUUGUGUAGCGGUGAAAUGCAUAGAUAUGACGAAGAACACCGAUUGCGUAGGCAGCUGACCAGACCGCAAAUGACGCUCAUGCACGAAAGUGCGGGGAUCGAACAGGAUUAGAUACCCUGGUAGUCCGCACAGUAAACGAUGAAUACUUGUUUUCGGCGAUAUAAUGUCGGAGGCAAAGCGAAAGCGAUAAGUAUUCCACCUGGGGAGUACGCCGGCAACGGUGAA